RNAcentral lists this ribosomal RNA (253 nucleotides) under uncultured bacterium. RNAcentral's name for it is "partial 16S ribosomal RNA". It matches the Rfam family "Bacterial small subunit ribosomal RNA", at positions 524 to 776 of the family's 1533-position model. The record is from RNAcentral.
UACGUAGGGGGCAAGCGUUGUCCGGAUUUAUUGGGCGUAAAGAGCGUGUAGGCGGCUUGACAGGUCUGCUGUGAAAACUCGAGGCUCAACCUCGAGAUGUCGGCGGAAACCGUCUGGCUAGAGUCCGGAAGAGGAGAGUGGAAUUCCUGGUGUAGCGGUGAAAUGCGCAGAUAUCUGGAAGAACACCUAUGGCGAAGGCAGCUCUCUGGGACGGUACUGACGCUGAGACGCGAAAGCGUGGGGAGCGAACAGG